Molecule: transfer RNA, 87 nt
Filed under: bacterium
Lineage: Bacteria
Also listed under: 6 other names
Description: tRNA-Ser
Rfam family: tRNA
About the family: Transfer RNA (tRNA) molecules are approximately 80 nucleotides in length.
Source: RNAcentral
GGAGAGAUGCCAGAGUGGUCGAAUGGACCGCACUCGAAAUGCGGCAUACGGGUGACUGUAUCCAGGGUUCGAAUCCCUGUCUCUCCG